CUCAAGGCCUGGAGUUUGAGACCCCUGCCCUAGAGACUUAUUCUACAAAUUAAAAUGCUUUAAUUACCAAUUCAGACUUGCUUAGAACCCUCCUUUUAGCUAAGUAGAUGGAUUUGUGAGGAGGCGAGCCAAGAUGCCCGUCAGCUGCCACAAACGUUUUCACUGAAUCAGAAUGGAAAACUGAUGACUCGGCAUUUGGAUGGCUUCGCUGUCUAAAGAUCUCAGUCCUCCUGAUAAGAGGCUAAUACACAGCUGCACCCACCUGCAGAACAUUUACACAGAUAUCAAAUCCUUGAAACGAGCCGUUUCCCUGACUACAACAGCUUGUCAAACUAGGAAACAGGACUGUUUGAAAUUGAAUCAACAGUAUUUAAUUCAUACAUUAUUUUUUAGUUUCAGUCAUCAGCAACAGUUCACAGUUUUUUGGUCCAUUCUUCUUUUCAGAAUUGAAAAAUUCAAGCCACAUCAAAUUAAAAAUAUGGAAAGCCAGAGUUGAACAAAAAUAAACCAUAACAAAAUAAGCCAGCCAGGAGACAUAAGGAGACUAUGGGAAAACCUGGGAAAUAGCUGAAGGAUCCAGCGAAGAGCAGCUGAGAAAGAGGUGCUAAAGUACUGGGAGGUUGAUUGCUGAAACAAUUGACCUGGACUGAUUGCAGGUGUGAGGGGAGAGAGCAGAGGGCAAACUGAGGAGAGAGAGAAAGAGGCACCGGGGCGAGGGAGAGUAUAGGGACUAGAAAAUUAAUCUAAUAGUAAAACAAAUUAAACAUACAGUAGUUAAACUAGAGUAACUAAACACUAGAAAUAAACAUAACAAACUAGAAUCACUAAGAAAGACCUGACUAAAGAAAGCAAGAACAAGACUGAUCCAACCAAAAUAAGAAACUAACACAAAAUCAUAAUGAAACUAGAAUCAAAUCAAGCUACAAAAUAAUAAAAGCUCCUAAAAUUAUGAUUCAAAACAGGCAAUUUAAAAAAAAUAAUUUUCUGUUAUUAAAAUUCGGAGUAAUUGCAGCUGUCGUAAUUGGAGAUUUCCUUUUUUUUUUUUAAACAAAACCCACUUUGUUCACAUAAGUCACCAAUUUAGUUUUCAGAUCCAUCUGCGUUCUAAAUUAGAUGAGCCCCACUUGUCCACGGAUGAUUGUUAGGAAAUAAGGUUGGAGACCUUGUGGACAGUGUUGUAAAUCACAGUGAUAAAGUUUAACUUUAAUCCACUGUAGCUACAGGCACAGUGACACAAGCGUGAGCCGGGACAUAAAGACCACCUGAGAGCAGGAAAGCCUGCGUCUCGUUCCAUCUUCAUUAUUCUUCCUCGUUGAAUUGAACCAUGAGAGGAUGGCUUUUCUUCUUAAAUGAGUUUUAGUCGACAGUUUGUCUUGAUUUGCAACACAUGCGUUUCAUCAUUUUGUUGCCAAAACCACAAAACCUUUCAAAUGCGACAAUUGCUUUUCUGUUUACGUCCUGAUGCCUGGAGGAAGAGAGGGGCCGUGGAGCUUGACCAAGCUUUUCGGGAUUAAAGAAGAGGCAGCAGCACGUCUGCAGACCCUGCACGGCUCCAUCCGAGGCAGGUCACUUUCAAGCUGCUGGAGCAAAACCAGCCCGUCAUCACACACAUCUUCAAACAGCCAUGCAUGAAGUUCUCUCCCACCAGCUGUUCUUGCUUUUCUCUCUAUCAUUCUCAGGUGUGAUGGCAACGUCGGCAAGCUGAGCGCUGACGUGAGCUCGGGGGAGCAGCAGAUGAUUAGAUUGCUGGAGGAAAUUGCAGGACUCAAAAUAGGUGUUGGCGCACUGCUUCAAGAACUUUUAGUCCAAGGGACCGGUGGGAUAGUUUCAGACAGACGAGCCAGGCCCUCUGUGGCCAAUCAGAUGGGCUGAACUGCAUCAGGAUCUGCAGCUGCUCAAACAGGCAUGAAACAAAGAUCACUGCUGGCAAGUUGCUGUCAUUACUGUACAAACAUAUACAAGCAGUAUGUCGUUUGCGUUAAACGUAAAGGGAGUAAAGAAACAGCAGAAAGAGAGCUUUGUGGAAGGAAAAGAGACUCAUCAUUAUUUCUUUACCCCUCAAUAAUAUU
Long non-coding RNA from Xiphophorus maculatus (southern platyfish), 2069 nucleotides. RefSeq lists it as uncharacterized. The transcript is spliced from 3 exons. Lineage: Eukaryota; Metazoa; Chordata; Actinopteri; Cyprinodontiformes; Poeciliidae. The record is from RefSeq and is a predicted model, not a curated record.